RNAcentral lists this ribosomal RNA (419 nucleotides) under bacterium. Its description in RNAcentral is "partial 16S ribosomal RNA". It matches the Rfam family "Bacterial small subunit ribosomal RNA", at positions 355 to 776 of the family's 1533-position model. The record is from RNAcentral.
UGGGGGAUAUUGCACAAUGGGCGAAAGCCUGAUGCAGCGACGCCGCGUGGGGGAUGAAGGCCUUCGGGUUGUAAACUUCUUUUGCUCUGAACAAGGCAUGCUAAUGGGUGUGUUGAGUGUAGGGGUUGAUUAGCGCCGGCUAACUACGUGCCAGCAGCCGCGGUAAUACGUAGGGCGCGAGCGUCGUCAGGAAUUAUUGGGCGUAAAGGGCUUGUAGGUGGAUGGAUGCGUCUGUCGUGAAAGCUCAUGGAUUAACUGUAGGUUUGCAGUGAGUAUGGGCUGGCUUCAGUGCAGUAGGAGAGGCUGGAAUUCCUGGUGUAGCGGUGGAAUGCGCAGAUAUCAGGAGGAAUACCGGUGGCGAAGGCGGGUCUCUGGGCUGUUACUGACACUGAGGAGUGAAAGCAUGGGGAGCGAACAGG